RNAcentral lists this ribosomal RNA (429 nucleotides) under Bacillota bacterium. Its description in RNAcentral is "Firmicutes bacterium partial 16S ribosomal RNA". It matches the Rfam family "Bacterial small subunit ribosomal RNA", at positions 355 to 776 of the family's 1533-position model. The record is from RNAcentral. Lineage: Bacteria; Bacillati; Bacillota.
UAGGGAAUCUUCGGCAAUGGACGGAAGUCUGACCGAGCAACGCCGCGUGAGUGAAGAAGGUUUUCGGAUCGUAAAGCUCUGUUGUUAGAGAAGAACGUUGGUAGGAGUGGAAAAUCUACCACGUGACGGUAACUAACCAGAAAGGGACGGCUAACUACGUGCCAGCAGCCGCGGUAAUACGUAGGUCCCGAGCGUUGUCCGGAUUUAUUGGGCGUAAAGCGAGGGCAGGCGGUUCUUUAAGUCUGAAGUUAAAGGCAGUGGCUUAACCAUUGAACGCUUUGGAAACUGGAGGACUUGAGUGCAGAAGGGGAGAGUGGAAUUCCAUGUGUAGCGGUGAAAUGCGUAGAUAUAUGGAGGAACACCGGUGGCGAAAGCGGCUCUCUGGUCUGUAACUGACGCUGAGGCUCGAAAGCGUGGGGAGCAAACAGG